This 857-nucleotide ribosomal RNA is filed under the name uncultured organism. RNAcentral's name for it is "SSU rRNA". It matches the Rfam family "Bacterial small subunit ribosomal RNA", at positions 18 to 875 of the family's 1533-position model. The record is from RNAcentral.
CAUGGCUCAGGAUGAACGCUGGCGGCGUGCUUAACACAUGCAAGUCGAACGAAGCACCUUGAUUUGAUUCUUCGGAUGAAGAUCCUGGUGACUGAGUGGCGGACGGGUGAGUAACGCGUGGGUAACCUGCCUCAUACAGGGGGAUAACAGUUAGAAAUGACUGCUAAUACCGCAUAAGACCACAGCACCGCAUGGUGCAGGGGUAAAAACUCCGGUGGUAUGAGAUGGACCCGCGUCUGAUUAGGUAGUUGGUGGGGUAACGGCCUACCAAGCCGACGAUCAGUAGCCGACCUGAGAGGGUGACCGGCCACAUUGGGACUGAGACACGGCCCAAACUCCUACGGGAGGCAGCAGUGGGGAAUAUUGCACAAUGGGGGAAACCCUGAUGCAGCGACGCCGCGUGAGCGAUGAAGUAUUUCGGUAUGUAAAGCUCUAUCAGCAGGGAAGAAAAUGACGGUACCUGACUAAGAAGCACCGGCUAAAUACGUGCCAGCAGCCGCGGUAAUACGUAUGGUGCAAGCGUUAUCCGGAUUUACUGGGUGUAAAGGGAGCGUAGACGGAGUGGCAAGUCUGAUGUGAAAACCCGGGGCUCAACCCCGGGACUGCAUUGGAAACUGUCAAUCUAGAGUACCGGAGAGGUAAGCGGAAUUCCUAGUGUAGCGGUGAAAUGCGUAGAUAUUAGGAGGAACACCAGUGGCGAAGGCGGCUUACUGGACGGUAACUGACGUUGAGGCUCGAAAGCGUGGGGAGCAAACAGGAUUAGAUACCCUGGUAGUCCACGCCGUANACGAUGACUACUAGGUGUCGGGCAGCAAAGCUGUUCGGUGCCGCAGCAAACGCAAUAAGUAGUCCACCUG